RNAcentral lists this long non-coding RNA (2696 nucleotides) under Malus domestica (apple). RNAcentral's name for it is "long non-coding RNA (MDOM_LNC002972)". The record is from RNAcentral. Lineage: Eukaryota; Viridiplantae; Streptophyta; Magnoliopsida; Rosales; Rosaceae.
UAAAAGUGAUCCCAAACCUCGUACGGAGUGCAUUUUGUUCUUAAUUCUAAAUUAUAUGAUAAAGAAACAUUAUUCCUACAUAAAAUUUAACUAGAUUAUAACAAAUAACAAAUUUUUACCUGUUGGUCUAAUGAUAUUCCUAUUCAUUUGUAAGUGAGAAGUUUUAUAUUUGAUUUUUAUCAAAUGCAAGUUUGAACCACAUUAUUGCUAACAUACUGUGAUGCUAAACUUAUCAUCUUCUAUUUAAUGUAGAUAAUAUCGUUUGUUAAAAAAAAAAAAAACAUUCUACCUUGUGAAAAAUUCAAGGGUGUCAAAUAACAAUUAUAGCCCUUGAUUAAUAUCCUGUUUUUCUUUUGUGUCCUAUAAAGUCUAUAAUUCAUUUCUUUUGUUAUUUCAUGUGGAGGUUUUAAAUUGUAUGAUUCCGGUUGGCUGACAUGCCAGACACCGUCCCCAUCCAAAAUAUAUUACCAUAUACUAUAUACUAUGUUGGUUAUAUAAAUAGGUAAAGCAUAUUAAGCGAUAGUUUAAUAUCAGUGCCUCACACGGCAAUUAGGCCUUUUGGUCAGCAGCUACAUAUAUAUGUUUGAGUCAAAUAUAUAGAUUUUGAUGAUGCUUUUUAUUUUUUUUAUUUUUUUUGAACCAUUGAUAUAGCCCAAUCAUACUUUGCAUUUUUAGGGCUCGCUUGAUGUCCAAAAUUAACUCGACUUGCACAAUUAAUUCACUAAAUUCAAUGGAUGUUGAUAGAAAUAUGGAUGUUAACAUACAUAUUUCGUCCAAGAGAAAGUAAAAAAAUGAAGUAUUUAUGAAGAAAACAUGUCUCUCUCAAUCCUAUUAUUUUUGUACGGGUUAAGAGGGAUAGAAUUUCUUCAUGAUUUUUCCAUCUUCGAUCUUUACUUAGACAAAAUAUACAAGUUGAAAUCCAUAUUUUCAUUUUCAUUGAAUUUAGAGCCAAAACAAUCCUAACCAUGAAAUGAGAUCUCAUGAUUUAAGAUAACAGUUAAAUCUUUAUUAUUUUAUAUGUUGAAAAAAACAUAUAUCUAUAUAUCUAUUUUUUAGUAUUUUCUUUGGAAAAGUUUAUUAGAAUGCCAGAAGGAUUAAUAAUAUAUAAAUUUGUGAUUUUAAUAAUACUUAUUUUCCCUAAUUCCUAAAAUACUUAUUUUGACACACCCCGUCCCGAGGGAGGGCAUGCUAGCCGUCACGUGAGAGUGACGUAACCAUUUACACAGUUCGUAAGCUUUAAAGAUAUAAUUACUAAGAUGUAACACCUGAGGGUGAGUCCUACUUUUGUGAAUUCUGUCAGAACACCGUUGGAUUCCUCGUGGCCACCAAAACUCUGCUAUCUUGAACCUGGAGGGGCGCAAAACAAAGUUGAGUGGGUCAGUAAAACAAAGUUUUUCGAAAAUCAUCUCAUUAUCAAAACGCUAACCCCUCACUGUAAAACCCGUAUAUUUUCCCAGAAAUAUGUAAUACGUAUACUUGUCUUAAAACCAUACUCAGAAGUAGUGAUAUGUGAAUUAUAUGUCAUGCCAAUAUAUAUAUAUAUAUAUCUCAUCAAAUCACAUAAGUAACUCAUGCCAAACAAUAUGUCAACCAGAUCCACCUAUAGUGGCCUGUACGGCUGAAUCUAUAGCUCAUAAUCAAUCUCAUCAAUCUUAUCUAACCAGAGUCAUCGCAAGUGACCUGUACGGCACUACACUGCACAUGAGUCAGAACCCCUGAAAAGGUCUAUGCAACUAAAUUGGGUGAAAUAUAGUUAUGCUCACGCUAUCAUCUCCUGAUAGCUAUGCGAUAAAUCGCUAGUCACCUACGAGUCGGAACCACCUCUAAUGGUAUGUACGACAUGCACCUAAAUUGGAUCCAAUUGUGAGCAUAUGGUGCGGGGGUGACUAUAUAUAUACAGGCCUAAAUCAUCUCUACUAAAUCACAAUCACCCUAAUGCAGGUUUAUGAGCUUUCAAUCACAUCAACUCAAAAAUUACAUAAUUUAAUUUAUGAACUUACCUGUGCGUCUGCAGCACCAAUCAUGCAUGUAUGCAAUUACUAAUGCAUAAAUAAUUAGGCAUAUAUUUUGCAUGGCAUUUCAUAUCGCAUUUCACUUAAAUUGAUUUCUUGGGAAAAAUCUCAUUUAUAUAAGUAUACACGGAAAACAAAACUGCCCACUCACCCGGAGUUCGCCCUACAACUCCCUAGCACAACACAUCAAGGCGUCAUGAUGAUCGGCGCCUAGAACAAUAAUCAAAAUCAAACCUCAGAAAUAAUAUCGAUAGAAUAUAUAACUUAUAUAAAACACAUCACUACGUAGUUCAAUCCGGAAGAUCUGCAACUCAUAUUUCAAAUCUAUAACUUCCAGAGAUACACAAUAUAUCUCUAGAACAACAUCCUAAAAUUUCCUUACCAUCCAACGGUCGGAUCUCCGUCAAUUGUCAAAACCAAGUGACGGUUAACAUUCUAUUUUAUGAACUUACAACUCCAAUUCCGGAAGAUCCGUAAUUCGGAUUCCCAAUCCGUAAGUUCCUAUAAUCCUCAAAUAUUACGUAUUACAAUGUAUCAAAGUUUGGUGACGAUCCAACGGUCGGAUCGUCAAUUCACAUUUUUACCUAACCACGAAUAGUAACGAACUUAGGUUCAAUUACUCAAUUUAAGUCAAUCAAUUAUCAAAACUGAACCUAGAACAUUAAACACAUGCUAAGAAUGACA